Molecule: long non-coding RNA, 395 nt
Organism: Alligator sinensis (Chinese alligator)
Lineage: Eukaryota; Metazoa; Chordata; Crocodylia; Alligatoridae
Exons: 3
Source: RefSeq, a predicted model, not a curated record
CCUAAAGUAUUCUAUUAUAAUUGCAGUUGCCAGUAUUUAUUAGUGGAAGAAGGGUAAUGAAUUCUAUAUAUUGAUUCACUCAGCCCAACAGCAGGACAAGUGAACAAAUAAACCAGGCGUAGAGAAGCAAAUAAUCAAAGAACUACAAUCUGAUCUUUAAAUUGUCCAAGUACAGAGGAAUCACAAAAGGUGCAGAUCUCCUGUAGAAGACGGAGGGACAGUCGACUCUACUUCCACUCUUCUUCACCUCCCCCAAAUCCUUUGGAGAACUCUUGUCAGACUUGGAAUAACUUAAAAAACUUUGUUAAAACAUUUUUUUUCCAUUAAAUUUUUGCCUUCUAUGAACAGCAUGUUUUGAGAACAUUUCAUUUAGAUGAAAGUGUUCCGACCAGUUA